This is a long non-coding RNA of Zingiber officinale, 503 nucleotides long. RefSeq lists it as uncharacterized. The transcript is spliced from 4 exons. The record is from RefSeq and is a predicted model, not a curated record. Lineage: Eukaryota; Viridiplantae; Streptophyta; Magnoliopsida; Zingiberales; Zingiberaceae.
AUUUGGUUUUUUUGUUGCUCAGAUAUUCCCAACCAAUUGGAGUUGGUAAUCCUUGGUGUAGGCAUGCAUAUGAACAAGGCUUUAUACACACCAAGUUAUACCUGCAUCACUGCUGGGACUGCUGGGGUCAUGUUCACUGGGGUUUAUGUGCUGGUUGACAUCUAUGGCUACAGGAAGCCAACCUUGGUCAUGGAAUGGCUAGGGAUGCAUGCAUUGAUGGUCUACAUUCUAUUAGGUUGCAACAUCUUCCCUUUAUUUGCCCAAGGAUUCUACUUGAGGGAGCCUGAGAACAAUAUAUUGAAGGUCAUUGGCAUUUCCUAAACAUCAUUUAUCUCGUUCACCGCAUCAUCCUUACCUGGAAAGAAUUUCAAUCAAUGAUCACUAUCAAGGAAGAAUGUUCAAAGGAAAGUAAAGGCUAAGGAGAAGAAACCAUAUACUCCUUUCCCUCCUCAGCUACCAAGCAAGGUAAUUACUGUAGCCAUUCCUACUAUUGUUUCAAGAGG